GCGCGAGUGGUGGAAUUGGUAGACACGCUAGCCUUAGGAGCUAGUGCCGUUAAGGUAUGGAGGUUCGAGUCCUCUCUCGCGCACCA
Molecule: transfer RNA, 86 nt
Filed under: Candidatus Saccharimonadota bacterium
Lineage: Bacteria; Candidatus Saccharimonadota
Description: tRNA-Leu
Rfam family: tRNA
About the family: Transfer RNA (tRNA) molecules are approximately 80 nucleotides in length. Their secondary structure includes four short double-helical elements and three loops (D, anti-codon, and T loops).
Source: RNAcentral